Molecule: unclassified non-coding RNA, 3794 nt
Filed under: Drosophila mojavensis
Lineage: Eukaryota; Metazoa; Arthropoda; Insecta; Diptera; Drosophilidae
Description: GI13760
Source: RNAcentral
GUGGCGGCGGCUGGUGCAGCACAAUAACAACAGCAACAACUGGCGCUGCAUCGGCGAGCAGUGGCCGCUUUGCAACCAUAAUGGGCGCAGUCAAAUCUCGGCCCAUCACCAGUGCCGACGUGGACCGACAGGAGGAUCAACGUCAGCAGCUGCCGCCCUUGCACCAGCAUCAGCACCAGAACACGAACUCCAUGCAGCGCAAUGGCCAUCACAGUGCGACGCUCCAGAAGCAGGAUCUGCGCUACGACAUUGGCUCCAGCUCCCAGUAUCAUCAUGUGAGGCAGCCGAGCGUGCGCAGUCGCAGCCAGCAGCCCAUGCCCACCACGGAUGAGCUGGAUCGUCGCUUUGCCAAAGUCUUGGCUUCGAUGGAUCUGCCACCGGACAAAGCAAAGCUGUUGCGUAACUACGAUGACGAGAAGAAGUGGGACAUGAUAUGCGAUCAAGAAAUGGUGCAGGCGAAGGACCCUCCCUCCCAUUAUUUGAGCAAGCUGCGAACCUACUUGGAUCCAAAGGCGUCGCGCAGUCAUCGGCUUUACCUCUUCUACUUUCUUUGUCAGAAACGUAAGAUGGUCGGGGAAUCGACGUCGACACAGGUGCUGCGGGAUCUAGAGAUCUCGCUGCGCACCAACCAUAUCGAAUGGGUCAAAGAGUUCCUGGACGACACCAACCAGGGCCUAGAUGCUCUCGUUGAUUAUCUCAGCUUUCGGCUGCAGAUGAUGCGACACGAACAGCGUCUGCAGGGCGCUCUGUGUGCGUCCGAGGAACGUUUGAAUUUGAUCAAUGGCCUAGAUGCCAGCGAGGUGGUGUUGAACAACAGCUCGAUGAGUCCUGGCGGUGGGGCGAACAAUGCCAAUCUGACAAACGGCUCUCUAAUGCUAGACGGCUCCCGACAGCAGUCGGGCACCCACAGCAAUCAUUCGCAUUCCUACAGCUUUGUGCGACCCACGAUUGCCGAGGUGCUAGACAGCCCCAGCCUGAAGCGGCGAUCGCGUCACAUCGCCAAACUGAAUAUGGGCGCUGCCACGGACGAUAUACACGUGUCCAUAAUGUGCCUGCGAGCGAUCAUGAACAACAAGUACGGCUUUAAUAUGGUCAUCCAGCAUCGCGAGGCGAUAAACUGCAUUGCUCUGAGUCUAAUACACAAGUCGCUGCGCACCAAGGCGCUGGUGCUGGAGCUGCUGGCGGCGAUAUGUCUGGUCAAGGGCGGGCACGAGAUCAUUUUGAGUUCCUUCGAUAACUUCAAGGAUGUGUGCCAAGAGCAGCGGCGCUUCCAGACGCUCAUGGAGUACUUCAUGAACUUCGAGGCCUUUAACAUUGACUUUAUGGUUGCCUGCAUGCAGUUCAUGAACAUUGUGGUUCACUCUGUGGAGGACAUGAACUACCGCGUCCACUUGCAGUACGAGUUUACGGCUCUGGGCUUGGAUAAGUAUUUGGAGCGCAUACGGCUAACCGAGUCUGAAGAGCUGAAGGUGCAGAUAUCCGCCUACUUGGACAAUGUCUUUGAUGUGGCUGCAUUGAUGGAGGACUCGGAAACCAAGACGUCGGCACUGGAGCGUGUGCAGGAGCUUGAGGAUCAGCUGGAGCGCGAGAUAGAUCGCAACUCAGAGUUCUUAUACAAAUUCGCCGAGCUAGAGACGGAGAACCAAACACUGAAAGCGGAGCGUGACCAGUUGGCGAUGCUGCGCCAGCAGUCGGAGGAGCAGCUCAAUGCACUCCAGCGCAUGCUGCAGCAGAACGAGCAGGAGCUCAAGAAACGUGAUACACUGCUACACAAUAAGAAUCUGGAGCUGCAAACACUUUCCCGUUCACUGCCUCGAUCCGCUUCCAGCGGCGAUGGCUCCUUGGUGAACGGCAGUCUGCUGACGUGCUCAGCGAAUGGUGCAGUGUCACCACCACCUCCACCACCGCCGCCCAUGCCAGCAGCAGCAGCGCCACCACCGCCGCCUCCUCCAGCGCCUCCUGCGCCGCCACCGCCGCCCAUGAUGCAGGGUCUGACUCCACUGGGCAGUCCGAACGGUAGCGUCACCUCAACAGUUCCCUCCCCGCCUCAUGCGCCGCCCAUGCUCAGCUCGUUCCAGCCUCCGCCACCACCAGUUGCUGGUUUCAUGCCAGCUCCAGAUGGUGCCAUGACCAUCAAACGCAAGGUGCCCACCAAAUACAAGCUGCCAACGCUUAACUGGAUAGCGCUGAAGCCGAAUCAGGUUCGCGGCACCAUAUUCAAUGAGCUGGACGACGAGAAGAUCUUCAAGCAAAUCGACUUUAACGAAUUCGAAGAACGCUUCAAAAUCGGCAUCGGUGGCCCACUCCACAAUGGCAGCAAUGGCAGCGAGGUGGAUGGCUCUCUCUCAACCUAUCCCAGUAAACGUUUCAAGAAGCCCGAUAAUAUCUCGCUGCUGGAACACACGAGGUUAAGAAACAUAGCAAUCUCUCGUCGUAAAUUGGGCAUGCCCAUUGAUGAUGUUGUUGCGGCCAUACAUAGUUUAGAUUUAAAGAAGUUGUCGCUGGAGAAUGUGGAGCUGCUGCAAAAGAUGGUGCCCACCGAAGCGGAGGUUAAGGCCUACAAGGAAUUCAUAAUUGAACGCAAGGAUCAGCAGCUGCUCACCGAGGAAGACAAGUUUAUGUUGCAAUUGUCGCGCGUUGAACGCAUCUCCUCCAAGCUGGCCAUUAUGAAUUACAUGGGCAACUUUGUCGAUAGUGUGCAUCUCAUCAGUCCGCAAGUUCAGUCGAUCGCCAGCGCCUCGAACUCCCUGAAGCAGUCUCGCAAGUUCAAAGCUGUGCUGGAAAUAGUGUUGGCGUUUGGCAACUAUCUUAAUAGCAACAAGCGCGGACCGGCGUAUGGCUUUAAGCUGCAAUCUCUGGACACAUUGAUUGACACAAAGUCAACUGAUAAGCGGUCUUCGUUGUUGCACUACAUUGUGGCCACGAUAAGGGCCAAAUUUCCGGAGCUUUUGAACUUUGAGUGCGAGCUAUAUGGCACAGAAAAAGCAGCCUCAGUGGCAUUGGAGAACGUUGUGGCCGAUGUGCAGGAGCUGGAUAAGGGCAUGGAGCAGGUGCGCAAGGAAGUCGAGCUGCGUGUGAAGGGCACACAGACACACAUACUGCGGGACUUCCUGAACAAUUCCGAGGACAAGCUGAAGAAGAUUAAGAGCGAUCUGCGGGUGGCACAGGAUGCGUUCAAAGAGUGUGUGGAAUACUUUGGGGACUCGUCACGAAAUGCGGACGCAGCUGCAUUCUUUGCGUUGAUCGUGCGCUUUACACGUGCCUUCAAACAACUCGAUCAGGAGAACGAGCAGCGUCGCCGACUAGAGCAGGCAGCUGCUUUGGCAGCCACGAAGAAGGAGAGCGAUCAGGUUAUGCUGCGCAAUAAGUUCAAUCAGAAAAAGCAACAGCAAAUACAUUGCCUGCUUGACUUUGCCAAGCAGCAUAGCACUGUGGACAUGUCUCCCUAACUGCAUACAAUACUAUUUAUAGUAUAACACCCAAGGCAACAUCCUCAACCUUAGCACGUAUGGGUUAUUUGGCUAACAUACUCUAGUAAUACACCAUUUGGGGCGGGCGGCUGUGGGGCGCGGGUUUGAAUUGGGCCAACAACCUAGACCUAAACCCAAGCAACCAACCACCAAUAGCAUCUCCACACCACAACCACAACCACCACCACCACAACCAUCCACUAGCUUCUAAUCGAGUACUUUGGGGGCGCAUUUGACGGACGUUGUUUGUGUUUAUAUCCUAGUGAUGCCGUCAUCAAUGAGCUGAAGAGCAAGACGCACUCGGUGCGCGAGAAGAAGCUGCUG